GAUAUUGCGCAAUGGGGGAACCCUGACGCAGCAACGCCGCGUGGGUGAUGAAGGUCUUCGGAUUGUAAAGCCCUGUUUUCUGGGACGAUAAUGACGGUACCAGAGGAGGAAGCCACGGCUAACUACGUGCCAGCAGCCGCGGUAAUACGUAGGUGGCGAGCGUUGUCCGGAUUUACUGGGCGUAAAGGGUGCGUAGGCGGAUGUUUAAGUGGGAUGUGAAAUCCCCGGGCUUAACCUGGGGGCUGCAUUCCAAACUGGAUAUCUAGAGUGCAGGAGAGGAAAGCGGAAUUCCUAGUGUAGCGGUGAAAUGCGUAGAGAUUAGGAAGAACACCAGUGGCGAAGGCGGCUUUCUGGACUGUAACUGACGCUGAGGCACGAAAGCGUGGGUAGCAAACAGGAUUAGAUACCCUGGUAGUCCACGCCGUAAACGAUGGAUACUAGGUGUAGGGGGUAUCAACUCCCCCUGUGCCGCAGUUAACACAAUAAGUAUCCCGCCUGGGGAGUACGGUCGCAAGAUUAAAACUCAAAGGAAUUGACGGGGCCCCCCC
This 548-nucleotide ribosomal RNA is filed under the name Clostridium sp. Its description in RNAcentral is "bacterial SSU rRNA". It matches the Rfam family "Bacterial small subunit ribosomal RNA", at positions 359 to 925 of the family's 1533-position model. The record is from RNAcentral. Lineage: Bacteria; Bacillati; Bacillota; Clostridia; Eubacteriales; Clostridiaceae.